UGCUUGUCUGAGUGCAGUGGUGUGACGAGUAAUUGAUCACAACCAGUUAACAGAGUUCUUUGUUCCUUCUGCUGCUUCACUUGACCAGCCUGAA
Cercocebus atys (sooty mangabey) is the source of this 94-nucleotide unclassified non-coding RNA. It matches the Rfam family "Y RNA". Rfam says of the family: Y RNAs are components of the Ro ribonucleoprotein particle (Ro RNP), in association with Ro60 and La proteins. The record is from Ensembl. NCBI's taxonomy places the organism in Eukaryota, Metazoa, Chordata, Mammalia, Primates, Cercopithecidae.